UAAAUAAGCUAGGGGUGCCUUUUAGGCUGAGAGAUAUAUUUAAAUAUUAACCCUUGAACCUGUAUGGAUAAUGCCAGCGAAGGGAAGCAAAUCUAAAAUUAG
This 102-nucleotide non-coding RNA is filed under the name Clostridium colicanis 209318. RNAcentral's name for it is "TPP riboswitch aptamer (THI element)". It matches the Rfam family "TPP riboswitch aptamer (THI element)". Rfam says of the family: Vitamin B(1) in its active form thiamin pyrophosphate (TPP) is an essential coenzyme that is synthesised by coupling of pyrimidine and thiazole moieties in bacteria. Lineage: Bacteria; Bacillati; Bacillota; Clostridia; Eubacteriales; Clostridiaceae. The record is from Rfam by way of RNAcentral.